GACGAACGCUGGCGGCGUGCCUAAUACAUGCAAGUCGAGCGAAGUUUUUCUGGUGCUUGCACUAGAAAAACUUAGCGGCGAACGGGUGAGUAACACGUAAAGAACCUGCCUCAUAGACUGGGACAACUAUUGGAAACGAUAGCUAAUACCGGAUAACAGUAUUUCUCGCAUGAGAGAUAUUUAAAAGUUGGUUAUGCUAACACUAUGAGAUGGCUUUGCGGUGCAUUAGCUAGUUGGUGGGGUAAAGGCCCACCAAGGCGACGAUGCAUAGCCGACCUGAGAGGGUGAUCGGCCACACUGGGACUGAGACACGGCCCAGACUCCUACGGGAGGCAGCAGUAGGGAAUCUUCCGCAAUGGGCGAAAGCCUGACGGAGCAACGCCGCGUGGGUGAAGAAGGAUUUCGGUUCGUAAAGCUCUGUUGUUAGGGAAGAAUGGAUAUGUAGUAACUAUACAUGUAAGAGACGGUACCUAACCAGAAAGCCACGGCUAACUACGUG
Molecule: ribosomal RNA, 499 nt
Filed under: uncultured bacterium
Lineage: Bacteria
Description: partial 16S ribosomal RNA
Rfam family: Bacterial small subunit ribosomal RNA
Source: RNAcentral